This 1542-nucleotide long non-coding RNA is filed under the name Equus asinus (donkey). RNAcentral describes it as "lncRNA (ENSEASG00005026242.1)". Lineage: Eukaryota; Metazoa; Chordata; Mammalia; Perissodactyla; Equidae. The record is from RNAcentral.
GUUCAUUCUAUUGGAUUUUUGUUUUCUUUGUAUUGUAUUUUGUUUUUUUAAAGCAAUUAAAGUAUUAUGGAAAUUGGCCUUUUGUCUGCAAUGGGUGGUACAAAUACUUUCCCUAAUUUUGAUUUGCCUUUUGACUUUAUUUUUUCCAUACAAAACUUUUAAAUUUUAAUAUAGAAAAAAUAAUCCUUCUUUUCCAUCGUAACAUCUGAGCUUAGUGGUCCCAUCUCAGAGAGAUCUUUCUCACUUUGGAUCAUAAAAAUAAUCCCCCCAUGUUUUCUCCUAGGACUUUAUAGAUUGAUUUAUAUAAAAAAUCUUUUCUCCAUCAGGAAUUUAAUUUGGGGUAGGCAAUGAGGUAGGAAUUGAAGUAAUUCUGCAGGAGAGUGAGUUGGAGGGUUGACAAAGAUGAUCCCCCUGACACAUAAAUCCCACAGAAGUUGUAAUUUACUAUGAUCCACACAACAGAUACAUUUUAAACAAAACAUUCCAGGACCCACCCAGCAUGCAGAUGUUGGGGGAGCUUUCCUUCUCAGCUUUCUCCUCUUCUUGGUGGGAAACACGUAGGUUGUUUACAAUGGCAUUUUGCAUUUCCAGGGUGAGGUCCUUUCAAGUCCAGCAUAAUUACUUUACCAGGUUGCAAACCUGCCUUUAACACAUCUCAUCGCCUGGUUCUCACUUCCUGGUGGUGGGCACAAUUUCUUUCUCUGCCACCAGGGCCAUCCUGCUACCUGUUCACAGGUUAGAUAAUAACGCCAAGAUAUUUCUAUCCCUGUGCUAACAAUGACCCAUCUGUGGACAUAUGCACUCAGAUACCGCCCAUGUUUCAGGGCCAAAGAGCAAGGGUUGAGCCCAGCAAGCUGGACCAGGACCUACUGCUGAGCUCCAUCUUUGUUUUUUUCCAGGUGGUUUGUCAGUUGUUAUCAUAAUGGUUGAGAAUACAAGCUCUAGAGUAAAACCAUCUGCCCAUGUGUAACCGAACUCAAUGGGUGAGCGCAGGGCUGAAAAGCACAACCAAGGCUAAGUGAGUGAAGAAAAAUGGUUUAGUUGCUUGCAGUAAGCAAUGGAGGACACUGGGCAUAGCUUCCACAGCACUGCCUUCCCCAUCCCCUCCCCCCUUAGUGCAGGUGGAGACUUUAUGCUCCGGAGUGUCCAUAUGUUACAACUGUGUAACAAAUGGGCCUAAUCAGGGAGCAUGUGCAGGCCAUUACAUAGUGAGCUCAAUGCAACAUGCCUUACAGAACAGGUCCAAGGUAAGUUUUGGAUACUUGGAACUGGAGGAAUUUACAGGGGUCCUGCUGCAACGGUGUAAGUCUCACUGUAGGAGGGCACCAUCUGCCAAAAGGAGGACAUCAACUUCUGGAAAACAGCACAUAUAGUUUUCUCCUUGUCUGGAAAACACUUGACAGACUUUGUUUAGUUAUGGAUCAGACUUUAACCCUUUCCUGCCUGGUUUCUGGUCACACGCGUUCUUCCACUCUGCCCCUUUUGAGCGAUGGGGUCAAGCACCAACUUUGCUUCACCUUUCUGUGCUUCGGUUUCUUCUCU